AUCAACUAUGCUAGCUCUCUGCAACUCUCUGGUUACCCACUGAAGCUAAGCAGGGCUGUGCCCAGUCAGUACCUGGAUGGACCACAUGGGAAAGCUAGGUUGCUGUCGAAA
Molecule: ribosomal RNA, 111 nt
Filed under: Danio rerio (zebrafish)
Lineage: Eukaryota; Metazoa; Chordata; Actinopteri; Cypriniformes; Danionidae
Source: RNAcentral